GAUGAACGCUGGCGGCGUGCCUAAUACAUGCAAGUCGAGCGAACGGACGAGAAGCUUGCUUCUCUGAUGUUAGCGGCGGACGGGUGAGUAACACGUGGAUAACCUACCUAUAAGACUGGGAUAACUUCGGGAAACCGGAGCUAAUACCGGAUAAUAUUUUGAACCGCAUGGUUCAAAAGUGAAAGACGGUCUUGCUGUCACUUAUAGAUGGAUCCGCGCUGCAUUAGCUAGUUGGUAAGGUAACGGCUUACCAAGGCAACGAUGCAUAGCCGACCUGAGAGGGUGAUCGGCCACACUGGAACUGAGACACGGUCCAGACUCCUACGGGAGGCAGCAGUAGGGAAUCUUCCGCAAUGGGCGAAAGCCUGACGGAGCAACGCCGCGUGAGUGAUGAAGGUCUUCGGAUCGUAAAACUCUGUUAUUAGGGAAGAACAUAUGUGUAAGUAACUGUGCACAUCUUGACGGUACCUAAUCAGAAAGCCACGGCUAACUACGUGCCAGCAGCCGCGGUAAUACGUAGGUGGCAAGCGUUAUCCGGAAUUAUUGGGCGUAAAGCGCGCGUAGGCGGUUUUUUAGUCUGAUGUGAAAGCCCACGGCUCAACCGUGGAGGGUCAUUGGAAACUGGAAAACUUGAGUGCAGAAGAGGAAAGUGGAAUUCCAUGUGUAGCGGUGAAAUGCGCAGAGAUAUGGAGGAACACCAGUGGCGAAGGCGACUUUCUGGUCUGUAACUGACGCUGAUGUGCGAAAGCGUGGGGAUCAAACAGGAUUAGAUACCCUGGUAGUCCACGCCGUAAACGAUGAGUGCUAAGUGUUAGGGGGUUUCCGCCCCUUAGUGCUGCAGCUAACGCAUUAAGCACUCCGCCUGGGGAGUACGACCGCAAGGUUGAAACUCAAAGGAAUUGACGGGGACCCGCACAAGCGGUGGAGCAUGUGGUUUAAUUCGAAGCAACGCGAAGAACCUUACCAAAUCUUGACAUCCUUUGACAACUCUAGAGAUAGAGCCUUCCCCUUCGGGGGACAAAGUGACAGGUGGUGCAUGGUUGUCGUCAGCUCGUGUCGUGAGAUGUUGGGUUAAGUCCCGCAACGAGCGCAACCCUUAAGCUUAGUUGCCAUCAUUAAGUUGGGCACUCUAAGUUGACUGCCGGUGACAAACCGGAGGAAGGUGGGGAUGACGUCAAAUCAUCAUGCCCCUUAUGAUUUGGGCUACACACGUGCUACAAUGGACAAUACAAAGGGCAGCGAAACCGCGAGGUCAAGCAAAUCCCAUAAAGUUGUUCUCAGUUCGGAUUGUAGUCUGCAACUCGACUACAUGAAGCUGGAAUCGCUAGUAAUCGUAGAUCAGCAUGCUACGGUGAAUACGUUCCCGGGUCU
RNAcentral lists this ribosomal RNA (1371 nucleotides) under uncultured bacterium. RNAcentral's name for it is "bacterial SSU rRNA". It matches the Rfam family "Bacterial small subunit ribosomal RNA", at positions 28 to 1381 of the family's 1533-position model. The record is from RNAcentral.